CCCUACGGGAGGCAGCAGUAAGGAAUCUUGCACAAUGGGCGAAAGCCUGAUGCAGCGACGCCGCGUGAAGGAUGAAGGCCUUCGGGUUGUAAACUUCUUUUAUCAGGGAAGAAAAAAAUGACGGUACCUGAUGAAUAAGCCCCAGCUAACUACGUGCCAGCGGCCGCGGUAAUACGUAGGGGGCGAGCGUUGUCCGAAUUUACUGGGCGUAAAGCGCGCGUAGGCGGACCUUUAAGUCAGGUGUGAAAUGCCGGGGCUCAACUCCGGAACUGCACCUGAAACUGGGGGUCUUGAGGUAUGGAGAGGGAAGUGGAAUUCCUGGUGUAGCGGUGAAAUGCGUAGAUAUCAGGAGGAACACCCGUGGCGAAGGCGGCUUCCUGGCCAUAUCCUGACGCUGAGGUGCGAAAGCUAGGGGAGCGAACGGGAUUAGAUACCCGUGUAGUCCC
Molecule: ribosomal RNA, 446 nt
Filed under: uncultured bacterium
Lineage: Bacteria
Description: bacterial SSU rRNA
Rfam family: Bacterial small subunit ribosomal RNA
Source: RNAcentral